CUGAUCGCGAUUUUCAGAGACGAAUUUCUUCAGUUCGGCUGGAUCAGUGACAGGUGCUGCAUGGCUGUCGUCAGCUCGUGUCGUGAGAUGUUGGGUUAAGUCCCGCAACGAGCGCAACCCUCAUUCUUAUUUGCCAGCGAGUUAUGUCGGGAACUAUAAGAAAACUGCCGGUGAUAAGCCGGAGGAAGGCGAGGAUGACGUCAAGUCCUUAUGGCCCUUAUGGCCUGGGCUACACACGUGCUACAAUGGGAACUACAAAGAGCAGCCAACCCGCGAGGGUGAGCAAAUCUCUAAAAGUUCUCUCAGUUCGGAUUGUACUCUGCAACUCGAGUACAUGAAGUUGGAAUUGCUAGUAAUCGUAGAUCAGAACGCUACGGUGAAUACGUUCCCGGGUCUUGUACACACCGCCCGUCACACCAUGGGAGUUUAUUUUACCUGAAAACGGUGUACUAACCUUUUUGGAAGGAACCGUUUACGGUAAGGUCAAUGACUGGGGUGAA
Molecule: ribosomal RNA, 500 nt
Filed under: uncultured bacterium
Lineage: Bacteria
Description: bacterial SSU rRNA
Rfam family: Bacterial small subunit ribosomal RNA
Source: RNAcentral